AGAACCUUAACUAGUUAGGCUUGAGAACAAAAGCUUAAAAUUCUUUUGAAUCACACAGGAGUGUUGGCUUUUAAGACAUUACAGCCAAGAGAUUAUUGCUGUUUUCGAUCCAAAGUCUAGUUACUAUCUUGUUAUUGGAAGAUGAAUAGGUCCAGGAGACAAGCACUGUACAGUGCAAGGACAGUACAAAAAUUCAUAGAACAUCAAAAAGAAAAUUCCAAGAUUCACCCUCGUGCUCAAUUUUCAGGAGUAUCAGAGCGGAUGGUGGGUUUCUGAGGUUUGCCAUCAGCCCAUUUGGAGAUG
RNAcentral lists this unclassified non-coding RNA (303 nucleotides) under Hevea brasiliensis (rubber tree). The record is from RNAcentral. Lineage: Eukaryota; Viridiplantae; Streptophyta; Magnoliopsida; Malpighiales; Euphorbiaceae.